Molecule: ribosomal RNA, 512 nt
Filed under: uncultured bacterium
Lineage: Bacteria
Description: partial 16S ribosomal RNA
Rfam family: Bacterial small subunit ribosomal RNA
Source: RNAcentral
GAUGAACGCUGGCGGCGUGCCUAAUACAUGCAAGUCGAACGAAACUUCUUUAUCACCGAGUGCUUGCACUCACCGAUAAAGAGUUGAGUGGCGAACGGGUGAGUAACACGUGGGCAACCUGCCCAAAAGAGGGGGAUAAUACUUGGAAACAGGUGCUAAUACCGCAUAACCAUAGUUACCGCAUGGUAACUAUGUAAAAGGUGGCUAUACUACCGCUUUUGGAUGGUCCCGCGGCGCAUUAGCUAGUUGGUAGGGUAAAGGCUUACCAAGGCAAUGAUGCGUAGCCGAAUUGAGAGGUUGAUCGGCCACAUUGGGACUGAGACACGGCCCAAACUCCUACGGGAGGCAGCAGUAGGGAAUCUUCCACAAUGGGCGAAAGCCUGAUGGAGCAACGCCGCGUGGGUGAAGAAGGUCUUCGGAUCGUAAAACCCUGUUGUUAGAGAAGAAAGUGCGUGAGAGUAACUGUUCACGUUUCGACGGUAUCUAACCAGAAAGCCACGGCUAACUACGUG